Molecule: long non-coding RNA, 306 nt
Filed under: Ursus maritimus (polar bear)
Lineage: Eukaryota; Metazoa; Chordata; Mammalia; Carnivora; Ursidae
Description: lncRNA (ENSUMAG00000009478.1)
Source: RNAcentral
AUAACAGGACAAAAAAGAGAAGCUGAUCAUGGAUUAUCUGACCAUUGAAGCUGAGGAAGAAGUCCUUCCAGCCAUUACUACUGAGGAUGCCUCUCUGCCCCAAAAACAGGACACAGAAGAAAUGGAACCUACUGUUGAGCUCCUUCCUGUUGAGUUCCAGGAAUUGGUGACAGUCAAGGAUGAGGAAAUGGAUUUCACUCAUGUGGAAGAAGAACAGCUGAAUUCUGCCCAAAGGUACAUGGGCAUGGAUAUGAAAGUGGAGACUUGUGGGAGCCUGGUAUUUUGGGGGAUUUUAUGAAGACGUGU